GUGGCAGAAAUUUGAUACUGAUGACUAAAUUUGCUGUCAUGCUUCAUUAUUUUUAAUAGUGAAACCAAUGAGAGAGCUAUGCUUUAGACACUAAUUACUACCUUAGAAAUAUGAACCUCCAUGAGAUUAUAUGGGGAUAUCAUGUUAAAGUACUCCCAAUAAAAUAAAAAGCAAAGCUCAGAGAUGCAGGGAAGAGACAGACUGAGUGAAACAAGGUGCCAGCCAGACACUGGGCUAGAUGCUUCCCAGACCUUAUGUCAUUGAAUAUUAUGGUUAGAUAGGAAAUUUUUUAAGUUGUGGAGGUUAUCUUUUACUAAGUCAGACUAACUCUUGAUUCAAAUGUUCAUAAUGCAAAGAUCAUUUGCUCUGCCCUAUGCUUCUCUUGCACAUGGUUUUCCUUUUUUUAAAAGUCCUGUUUCUUGAAUCAUCACCUGCCUUGGGCUUGGUGUGGUAGUUUCUGAAUGACUGGGUUAGCACGUCAGUUCACCUUUCAAAAUAUUUCCAGGGCAGGCCACUCAUUCAGCAUCCCAGGUGCCUAAUGAAUUGUGUUCCUCUCCCCAGCCCACUGAGCAAGAUUUCAAAGCCUCCUUUAUCUCUCUGGGUGGAUACAGAGUCAUUAAGCUUAAAUAUGCCCUGUGCCAAUAGACUUGAGGGUUGGGUUUAGUUAUUAUUAACUUGGGGAGCCUCCACCCAGCUAACUAUUCUAGGAAAUAACUGGAUGACUCAGGUGCUUUUAUAUUCAUCUUUCAGCAAACCAGUCAUCUUCCCUGAGCACUGUGGCUGGAGGUGAAUGUCCCAGCAAGUUUGCCAUCAUGUCUCCAUCACUACACAAACUCCGUGGCUAACAAACGAGAAGCUUUGCAGAGGCUGAGAGCUAUUAUCAUAAAGCACAGAGUGGCACCUUCACUUAGGGAGUGUGGACGUGGGAUUUAGAAGUGAAAGGAUGAUGAAGUGGGACUGAAACCUGAGUUCGAUCUCACCUGGAAGAAAAACAGCACUGAGAGCAUCUGCCCGUCUUUCCACUCAAAGACUAGCCUCCCUGGUGUGAUUUCCUUAAAGCAGCCUGUGGUGUGACAGCGCCAAGUGAGACAACUCCGGUGACGCCCUCCCCUCCAGCCAGGCGCACACCUGAUUCACAGACGCUGGAGGGAGGAAGAGGGAAGAGGAUUUCAGAAGCACAGCCAGCUGGGCCCCUCCCCUACCUCCUAAAAGCAAAUAUAGUUAGUCCUCAUCUACUUGGGAGCUGAGCAGGCUCUUAAUUCAGAAAACACCAUGACCAGCACUUAAUUUCCUAAGUGUAAGGACAUAAGGGAUAUAUCAUCUUCUGGAUGAAAAAAUUCUCCUGAAAUAAAAUAAGAGUUAAUAUUUUUUAGGGGGAGGGUAUAGUUCACUGGUAGAGCACGUGCUUAGCAUACAUGAGGUCCUGGGUUCAAUCCCCAGUACUUCCAUUAAAAUAAACAAAUAAACAAACCUAAUUAUCCACCCCCAUAAAAACAAAACAAAAACGAAUGAGCUAAUUUUGUAUUAAAUACUUAUUAUUUGUAUUAAAUACUUAUUUUUUUUAUUAAACACAGUGCAGUAGGUGCUAAGGCCAGCACCUUACCUGCUUUUGCCUAUGACAAAGUUCACAACAUCUGCAAAAAAUUUCAUUAUUUCACUAUUUUAUAGAUGAAGAAACUUAGGACAGCAGCUUGCCCAGAGUUUCACAGCUGAGCCAAAAUUUAAAGCAAAAUUUUGUGUGUUUGUUUUUAAGAGCCAGAACUAUUGACAAGUAUAUCACAUUACCUAUGGAGUAACCAAUUCAGUAAAACGAAUAUGACUAGCAUGGAGCCUGCCUGCCUAACCUUACAAUUAGUUUGUAUUGUAUACAUAAUAACUUAUUUUGGCAUAAAAAUUUUUACCACAUUUUAAAAAAA
Molecule: long non-coding RNA, 1916 nt
Organism: Vicugna pacos (alpaca)
Lineage: Eukaryota; Metazoa; Chordata; Mammalia; Artiodactyla; Camelidae
Source: RefSeq, a predicted model, not a curated record